This 484-nucleotide ribosomal RNA is filed under the name uncultured bacterium. RNAcentral describes it as "partial 16S ribosomal RNA". It matches the Rfam family "Bacterial small subunit ribosomal RNA", at positions 30 to 507 of the family's 1533-position model. The record is from RNAcentral.
AUUGAACGCUGGCGGCAGGCCUAACACAUGCAAGUCGAGCGGAUGAAGCGAGCUUGCUCCUGGAUUCAGCGGCGGACGGGUGAGUAAUGCCUAGGAAUCUGCCUGGCAGUGGGGGAUAACGUCCGGAAACGGGCGCUAAUACCGCAUACGUCCUGAGGGAGAAAGUGGGGGAUCUUCGGACCUCACGCUAUCAGAUGAGCCUAGGUCGGAUUAGCUAGUUGGUGGGGUAAAGGCCUACCAAGGCGACGAUCCGUAACUGGUCUGAGAGGAUGAUCAGUCACACUGGAACUGAGACACGGUCCAGACUCCUACGGGAGGCAGCAGUGGGGAAUAUUGGACAAUGGGCGAAAGCCUGAUCCAGCCAUGCCGCGUGUGUGAAGAAGGUCUUCGGAUUGUAAAGCACUUUAAGUUGGGAGGAAGGGCAGUAAGUUAAUACCUUGCUGUUUUGACGUUACCAACAGAAUAAGCACCGGCUAACUUCGUG